CGUACCUUUUGUAUAAUGGGUCAGCGACUUAUAUUCUGUAGCAAGGUUAACCGUAUAGGGGAGCCGAAGGGAAACCGAGUCUUAACCGGGCGUUAAGUUGCAGGGUAUAGACCCGAAACCCGGUGAUCUAGCCAUGGGCAGGUUGAAGGUUGGGUAACACUAACUGGAGGACCGAACCGACUAAUGUUGAAAAAUUAGCGGAUGACCUGUGGCUGGGGGUGAAAGGCCAAUCAAACCGGGAGAUAGCUGGUUCUCCCCGAAAGCUAUUUAGGUAGCGCCUCGUGAAUUCAUCUCCGGGGGUAGAGCACUGUUUCGGCUAGGGGGCCAUCCCGGCUUACCAACCCGAUGCAAACUGCGAAUACCGGAGAAUGUUAUCACGGGAGACACACGGCGGGUGCUAACGUCCGUCGUGAAGAGGGAAACAACCCAGACCGCCAGCUAAGGUCCCAAAGUCAUGGUUAAGUGGGAAACGAUGUGGGAAGGCCCAGACAGCCAGGAUGUUGGCUUAGAAGCAGCCAUCAUUUAAAGAAAGCGUAAUAGCUCACUGGUCGAGUCGGCCUGCGCGGAAGAUGUAACGGGGCUAAACCAUGCACCGAAGCUGCGGCAGCGAACGUAUCA
This 618-nucleotide ribosomal RNA is filed under the name Salmonella enterica. RNAcentral's name for it is "partial 23S ribosomal RNA". It matches the Rfam family "Bacterial large subunit ribosomal RNA", at positions 600 to 1218 of the family's 2925-position model. Lineage: Bacteria; Pseudomonadati; Pseudomonadota; Gammaproteobacteria; Enterobacterales; Enterobacteriaceae. The record is from RNAcentral.